CAGUAGCCGCGGUAAUACGAAGGGUGCAAGCGUUAAUCGGAAUUACUGGGCGUAAAGCGUGCGUAGGCGGUGAGUUAAGUCUGCUGUGAAAUCCCCGGGCUCAACCCGGGAAUGGCAGUGGAUACUGGCUCGCUAGAGUGUGUCAGAGGAUGGUGGAAUUCCCGGUGUAGCGGUGAAAUGCGUAGAGAUCGGGAGGAACAUCAGUGGCGAAGGCGGCCAUCUGGGACAACACUGACGCUGAGGCACGAAAGCGUGGGGAGCAAACAGGAUUAGAUACCCCAGUAGUCCCUGUCUCUUAUAC
RNAcentral lists this ribosomal RNA (301 nucleotides) under uncultured bacterium. Its description in RNAcentral is "partial 16S ribosomal RNA". It matches the Rfam family "Bacterial small subunit ribosomal RNA", at positions 509 to 807 of the family's 1533-position model. The record is from RNAcentral.